Molecule: ribosomal RNA, 851 nt
Filed under: Distoseptispora thysanolaenae
Lineage: Eukaryota; Fungi; Ascomycota; Sordariomycetes; Distoseptisporaceae
Description: partial large subunit ribosomal RNA
Rfam family: Eukaryotic large subunit ribosomal RNA
Source: RNAcentral
ACCAACAGGGAUUGCCCCAGUAACGGCGAGUGAAGCGGCAACAGCUCAGAUUUGAAAUCUGGCCCCCUCCGGGGUCCGAGUUGUAAUCUGUAGAGGAUGCUUUUGGUGACGCGCCUUCCGAGUCCCCUGGAACGGGGCGCCAGAGAGGGUGAGAGCCCCGUAUGGUCGGACGCCGAGCCUCUGUAAAGCUCCUUCGACGAGUCGAGUAGUUUGGGAAUGCUGCUCAAAAUGGGAGGUAAAUUUCUUCUAAAGCUAAAUACCGGCCAGAGACCGAUAGCGCACAAGUAGAGUGAUCGAAAGAUGAAAAGCACUUUGAAAAGAGGGUUAAAUAGCACGUGAAAUUGCUGAAAGGGAAGCGCUUGUGACCAGACUUGCGCCCGGUUGAUCAUCCAGCGUUCUCGCUGGUGCACUCUGCCGGGCCCAGGCCAGCAUCGGCUCUCCCAGGGGGAUAAAGGUCGCGGGAACGUAGCUCUCUCCGGGGAGUGUUAUAGCCCGCGGCGGAAUACCCUUAGGGGGGGCCGAGGCCCGCGUUCGCAAGGAUGCUGGCGUAAUGGUCACCAGCGACCCGUCUUGAAACACGGACCAAGGAGUCAAGCAUUAGGGCGAGUCUUUGGGUGUAAAACCCGCAGGCGCAAUGAAAGUGAACGGAGGUGAGAGCUUCGGCGCAUCAUCGACCGAUCCUGAUGUUCUCGGAUGGAUUUGAGUAAGAGCCUUACCGCUUGGACCCGAAAGAUGGUGAACUAUGCCUGAAUAGGGUGAAGCCAGAGGAAACUCUGGUGGAGGCUCGCAGCGGUUCUGACGUGCAAAUCGAUCGUCAAAUUUGGGCAUGGGGGCGAAAGACUAAUCGAACC